CCCUUAGAUGUUCUGGGCCGCACGCGUGCUACACUGAGUAAUUCAAUGGGUAAGGGAACGCUAGAGCAUUACCUAAUCUUGAAAUUUGCUCGUGAUGGGGAUCGACGGUUGCAAUUUUCCGUCGUGAACGAGGAAUACCUUGUAGGCGCAUGUCAUCAUCAUGCGCCGAAUACGUCCCUGCCCUUUGUACACACCACCCGUCGCUCCUACCGAUUGAGUGAUCCGGUGAGGCUCUGGGACCUGGACGGAAAGAGCGUUUCGCUUGUUCUGUUUGGGAAACUUGGUCGAACCUUAUCAUUUAGAGGAAGGAGAAGUCGUAACA
Molecule: ribosomal RNA, 322 nt
Filed under: uncultured eukaryote
Lineage: Eukaryota
Description: partial 18S ribosomal RNA
Rfam family: Eukaryotic small subunit ribosomal RNA
Source: RNAcentral